GAGUUUUGAUCAUGGCUCAGGAUGAACGCUAGCUACAGGCUUAACACAUGCAAGUCGGAGGGGAAACGACAUACGAAAGCUUGUCUUUUGAGUGGGCGUCGACCGGCGCACGGGUGAGUAACGCGUAUCCAACCUGCCCACCACGUUGGGGAUAACCUUGCGAAAGUAAGACUAAUACCCAAUGAUAUCCCUAGAAGACAUCUGAAAGAGAUUAAAGAUUUAUCGGUGAUGGAUGGGGAUGCGUCUGACUAGCUUGUUGGCGGGGUAACGGCCCACCAAGGCAACGAUCAGUAGGGGUUCUGAGAGGAAGGUCCCCCACAUUGGAACUGAGACACGGUCCAAACUCCUACGGGAGGCAGCA
This 361-nucleotide ribosomal RNA is filed under the name uncultured bacterium. RNAcentral's name for it is "bacterial SSU rRNA". It matches the Rfam family "Bacterial small subunit ribosomal RNA", at positions 9 to 353 of the family's 1533-position model. The record is from RNAcentral.